RNAcentral lists this ribosomal RNA (334 nucleotides) under uncultured eukaryote. RNAcentral's name for it is "partial 18S ribosomal RNA". It matches the Rfam family "Eukaryotic small subunit ribosomal RNA", at positions 1470 to 1796 of the family's 1831-position model. The record is from RNAcentral.
CCCUUAGUUGUCCGGGGCCGCACGCGCGCUACACUGAAGGAAUCAGCGUGGCUUUCUCCCUGACCCGAAAGGGUUGGGAAACCCGUUGAAUCUCCUUCGUGAUAGGGAUUGGGGCUUGAAAUUGUUCCCCAUGAACGAGGAAUUCCCAGUAAGCGCGAGUCAUAAGCUCGCGUUGAUUACGUCCCUGCCCUUUGUACACACCGCCCGUCGCUACUACCGAUUGAACGGUUUAGUGAGGGCCUCGGAUUGGUCUCGGCCCGCUCUUUACCGGGCGGCGCCGUUGGUCGAGAAGACGCUCGAACUUGAUCGUUUAGAGGAAGUAAAAGUCGUAACA